UUCGCAAUGCCCGAAAGGGUGACGAAGCGACGCCGCGUGCGGGAAGAAGGCCUUCGGGUUGUAAACCGCUGUCGGGAGUUAAGAAAUGUAAGGAUGUUAAUAGCAUCUUUGCUUGACUAAGGCUCCGGAGGAAGCCACGGCUAACUCUGUGCCAGCAGCCGCGGUAAUACAGAGGCGGCAAGCGUUGUUCGGAAUUAUUGGGCGUAAAGAGCACGUAGGCGGCUAUGUAAGUCGGUUGUGAAAGCCUUCCGCUCAACGGGAGAACAGCAUCCGAUACUGCAUGGCUUGAGUGCGGGAGGGGAGAGUGGAACUUCUGGUGGAGCGGUGAAAUGCGUAGAUAUCAGAAGGAACGCCGGCGGCGAAAGCGGCUCUCUGGCCCAUAACUGACGCUGAGUGUGCGAAAGCUAGGGGAGCAAACGGGAUUAGAUACCCCGAUAGUCCUAGCCGUAAACGAUGGGCACUAAGUAGAGGGGUUUU
This 477-nucleotide ribosomal RNA is filed under the name uncultured Planctomycetales bacterium. RNAcentral describes it as "bacterial SSU rRNA". It matches the Rfam family "Bacterial small subunit ribosomal RNA", at positions 365 to 832 of the family's 1533-position model. The record is from RNAcentral. Lineage: Bacteria; Pseudomonadati; Planctomycetota; Planctomycetia; Planctomycetales.